This is a long non-coding RNA of Crotalus tigris (Tiger rattlesnake), 1940 nucleotides long. RefSeq lists it as uncharacterized. The transcript is spliced from 2 exons. NCBI's taxonomy places the organism in Eukaryota, Metazoa, Chordata, Lepidosauria, Squamata, Viperidae. The record is from RefSeq and is a predicted model, not a curated record.
CCUUCUUCUAUUGCCCUCAAUCUUUCCCAGCAUUAGGCCUUUCUCCAGUGAGUCCUUCCUUCUCAUUACGUGGCCAAAGUAUUUGAUUUUCAACUUCAGGAAUUACAUACACUAGUGAUGCUCAAUAUAACAAAUGAUAUAAAAGCAUCAUACAACGUAUAAUCCUUUCAGUGCGGUACCAAAAUCUCCAGUAUAUAUUAUCUGUAAAUGGUAAAAAUCCACCCAGAUAGUAUAGAGAAGUGUUGAAUGUCUGCCUCUCUCGUGCUGAUGGCCGGCUGGUUGGGGCCUUCCAAGCGCCCUGCAGUCAGCAAUGCCCCUGUGGGGACCCAGCAGCCCUGCCCUCUGGAGCGAGGUUCCCUUCCCCCAAUUUUAACAGGUCACUCUCUCCUGGGAUUUUGAAGGGCCCUAAAGACUGGCUCUGCACCCAGACUCAAGGACCACUGAAGCCCUCCUUCCCUCCCUCUUCUCUUGGUUCAUCGUCUGGGCCAACAUCCUUCUCUUGUCUUGUGUUGUUUUUGUAGCUUUUGUACUGAGUCGCUGGGAGUGAAGCGGCAUAUAAAUUAUUAUUUUUUAACAUAAACUUUAGAAAGCACACUGUAUUUGCGUUGCCAUUCUUAAAUUCUGCUAAAUUUCUGUUGUAUAUAGAAAUGAGUUUCACCACUGCUAUACAUAUUCUCCAAUCAAGAUAUUGUGUCUUUUCUCCAAAGUUGUGCAAAAUUUGUGCUUUGCAGCUGUGAACACCAUAUGCUUGAUACUUUAUGGUACUUUUUAGUGAUGUCUUCCGUUAUCUAAAGGUAGCCCUCACUUAACAAAGGUAAUUGGGACCAGAAAAUAUAUCGCUAAGAGGCACAGUCAUUAAGAUGACACAUGACUUCAAUAUCACCCCAGCAGUUAAGGAUGCCACAUGGCUGCGACAUGCAACUUCUUGUCAGCUUUUCCCUUGACCUGGCUUGUGGGCAGCUGGCAGGGAAGGCCACGUUAUGCUCAGAACUGUGGGAUGUGCAGUGGUCAGAAAUGUGGAUCAGUUAACCGCAUUGUUUGUGAUCACGUGCUGUAACAGCCACAGCUACAAGGACUUUGGAUGUUUGUGUUAUUACUAGUCAGCUGAUAUGCACAAUUUUGUCUUUUUGGGCUUAUUUUUUCCAAAUCAAUGUAACUACCCUAACUGUGCUAACUAAACGGAUAUGUUGGACAAAGUAGGUGCCAUGAAUGUAGGUGCCAACAGUCACUGAAUGAGUGGCCAUUAAGGGAGGACUACCUGUACAAAAAAAAAAUUCAUUUUGAGGCUUUUUACUGAAUCUGGAUUAAGAGUGCUGUGUGAACCCAGCCUCCAGCAGGUGCUGAGAGACCUGUGCCCUCUUGCACCCAAAUAUUAUCCAGGGACACCUGUUGGGAAAGUUUGCUGGCACAAAUCUUUGGCUGGCCAUAGCACUGUGGGGGGAAAACCCUUUUGGGGACACUGGAUAUUGAUGCUUCAGUUCCCCUAAGGACACCGGCCCUCACUCGCUCUUCUGACCAGCUUCUGCUUUGAACUUCUGCAUUAGUACAGAAUGGCAGGUCAGCGUAGCCCAGAUCUGCCUAUGAAUUUGAACUCUGCUGCCAACUCUCGGGUGCCGUGCCCUUUUCCAACCCAUCAGUCCUUACAGAGCUUCCUGCGGCUCCCCAGAACCUCGUGAUCAAGGACAGACAACCAGCAACCCUUUUUGGGAGGAAGAGCCUCAAGGACACCUGCUGAGCUCCCGUGGGGAUUUUUUGUAGGCAUCUGGCAGAGGAAGCGGCUUGGAUCCAGCUGGACUAAGCUGGCCCAGUUGCUGGGUCUGGGUCUGCCGAUCUUGCCGGCUGAUCUGGGAAGCCCUUGAGCAGAAGACCCAGGACUCGUGAACUUCCGAUUCCUGUCCCUCCUGGCUGGCUCAGGUUACCUGGAAGGCCAGGUGGAUCCA